GAUGAACGCUGGCGGCGUGCCUAAUACAUGCAAGUCGAGCGAACAGACGAGGAGCUUGCUCCUCUGACGUUAGCGGCGGACGGGUGAGUAACACGUGGAUAACCUACCUAUAAGACUGGGAUAACUUCGGGAAACCGGAGCUAAUACCGGAUAAUAUAUUGAACCGCAUGGUUCAAUAGUGAAAGACGGUUUUGCUGUCACUUAUAGAUGGAUCCGCGCAGCAUUAGCUAGUUGGUAAGGUAACGGCUUACCAAGGCAACGAUGCGUAGCCGACCUGAGAGGGUGAUCGGCCACACUGGAACUGAGACACGGUCCAGACUCCUACGGGAGGCAGCAGUAGGGAAUCUUCCGCAAUGGGCGAAAGCCUGACGGAGCAACGCCGCGUGAGUGAUAAAGGUCUUCGGAUCGUAAAACUCUGUUAUUAGGGAAGAACAAAUGUGUAAGUAACUAUGCACGUCUUGACGGUACCUAAUCAGAAAGCCACGGCUAACUACGUG
RNAcentral lists this ribosomal RNA (497 nucleotides) under uncultured bacterium. RNAcentral describes it as "partial 16S ribosomal RNA". It matches the Rfam family "Bacterial small subunit ribosomal RNA", at positions 28 to 507 of the family's 1533-position model. The record is from RNAcentral.